RNAcentral lists this ribosomal RNA (253 nucleotides) under uncultured bacterium. RNAcentral's name for it is "partial 16S ribosomal RNA". It matches the Rfam family "Bacterial small subunit ribosomal RNA", at positions 524 to 776 of the family's 1533-position model. The record is from RNAcentral.
UACAGAGGUCUCAAGCGUUGUUCGGAUUCAUUGGGCGUAAAGGGUGCGUAGGUGGCGCCGUAAGUCGGGUGUGAAAUUUCGGAGCUUAACUCCGAAACUGCAUUCGAUACUGCGGUGCUUGAGGACUGGAGAGGAGACUGGAUUUCAUGGUGUAGCAGUGAAAUGCGUAGAGAUCAUGAGGAAGACCAGUGGCGAAGGCGGGUCUCUGGACAGUUCCUGACACUGAGGCACGAAGGCCAGGGGAGCAAACGGG